This 559-nucleotide ribosomal RNA is filed under the name uncultured bacterium. Its description in RNAcentral is "bacterial SSU rRNA". It matches the Rfam family "Bacterial small subunit ribosomal RNA", at positions 338 to 916 of the family's 1533-position model. The record is from RNAcentral.
CCUACGGGAGGCAGCAGUGGGGAAUCUUGCACAAUGGAGGAAACUCUGAUGCAGCGAUGCCGCGUGAGUGAAGAAGGCCUUUGGGUUGUAAAGCUCUUUUGUAGGGGAAGAUAAUGACUGUACCCUAAGAAUAAGGUCCGGCUAACUUCGUGCCAGCAGCCGCGGUAAUACGAAGGGACCUAGCGUAGUUCGGAAUUACUGGGCGUAAAGCGCGCGUAGGCCGUUGAGUUAGUUAAUUGUGAAAUCCCAAAGCUUAACUUUGGAACUGCAAUUAAAACUGCUCGACUAGAGUUUGAUAGAGGAAAGCGGAAUACAUAGUGUAGAGGUGAAAUUCGUAGAUAUUAUGUAGAACACCAGUUGCGAAGGCGGCUUUCUGGAUCAACACUGACGCUGAGGCGCGAAAGUAUGGGUAGCAAAGAGGAUUAGAUACCCUCGUAGUCCAUACCAUAAACGAUGAUUGCUAGAUGUUGGAAAUUUAUUUUCAGUAUCGCAGCUAACGCAUUAAGCAAUCCGCCUGGGGAGUACGACCGCAAGGUUAAAACUUAAAGGAAAUUGACGG